RNAcentral lists this ribosomal RNA (1619 nucleotides) under groundwater metagenome. RNAcentral describes it as "bacterial SSU rRNA". It matches the Rfam family "Bacterial small subunit ribosomal RNA". The record is from RNAcentral.
AGAGUUUGAUCCUAGCUCAGGAUGAACGCUGGCGGUGUGGAUAAGGCAUGCAAGUCGAACGGGUCUAAUCAGACGGAAGUACGGAAUGAGUAGCAAUACGAAGGAAGUAUGGAAGUCUGACAGACUAGUGGCAGACGAGGUAGUAAUAUUUAGGAACGUACCCCGAAGUCGCGAAUAGCCCACCGAAAGGUGGAGUAAUACGCGAUAGUCUCGCAAGAGUAAAGAUUUAUCGCUUCGGGAGCGGCUUAAACAGUAUCAGCUAGUUGGUAGGGUAAAAGCCUACCAAGGCUAUGACGCUUAGGAGAGGUGAGAGCCUGACCUCCACCGAUGGGACUGAGACACGGCCCAUACACCUACGGGUGGCUGCAGUCGAGAAUCUUCCGCAAUGGACGCAAGUCUGACGGAGCGACACCGCGUGAUCGAAGAAGAGCUUCGGUUUGUAAAGAUCUUUUAUGAGGGAAGAAGUUUAUUGACGGUACCUCAUGAAUAAGGGCCUGCCAAACUCGUGCCAGCAGCAGCGGUAAUACGAGUGGCCCAAGCGUUAUCCGGAAUUAUUGGGCGUAAAGGGUAUGUAGGUGGUUAUGUUAGUCAGGUGUCUAACCUCUGGGCUCAACCUGGAGACAGCAUUUGAAACGGCAUGGCUAGAGUAUGUUAGGGGUAAGCGGAACUCAUAGUGUAGGGGUGAAAUCCGUUGAUAUUAUGGGGAACACCAAAAGCGAAGGCAGCUUACUGGAACAUUACUGACACUGAAAUACGAAAGCGUGGGUAGCGAAUGGGAUUAGAUACCCCAGUAGUCCACGCCCUAAACGAUGUUCUCUCGCUAUGUUGAGUAUCGACCCUCAACGUGGCUUAGCUAACGCGGUAAGAGAACCGCCUGGGAAGUACGAUCGCAAGAUUAAAACUCAAAGGAAUAGACGGGGACCUGCACAAGCAGUGGAUUAUGUGGUUUAAUUCGAUGGUAAACGAAGAACCUCACCAGGAUUUGAAACUCACGAGAAAGCCUAAGGAAACUCUGGCCCCCGCAAGGCUCGGGGACAGGGGGUGCGUGGCCGUCGUCAGUUCGUGGUUUGAACUGUUCCCUUCAGUGGGGUAACGAACGCAACCCUUAUCUUGUGUUACAAGUGUCACAAGAGACUGCCCAGUAAUGUGCGCAGAAGAUUCUAGAAUAUAGAAUGCAGAAUGUAGUUUGUAGAUAUCGUGCGUAGCAAUACGUACAUUGUCUGCAGGCUACAUUCUGUGUUGUAUCUUUUUUAAUCUUGUGAAUACAUUACUGGGAGGAAGGAGAGGAUGACGCCAGGUCAGCAUGUCCCUUUGACAUCCUGGGCUACACACAUAAUACAAUCGGGCGGACAACGGGUCGCGACGGGGUAACCCUGAGCCAAUCCUUCAAACCGCCCGCCAGUUCAGAUUGUGGUCUGCAACUCGACCACAUGAAGCCGGAAUUGCUAGUAAUCGCGGGUCAGCUAAACCGCGGUGAAUACGUUCUCAGGUCUUGUACUCACUGCCCGUCAACUCAAGGGAGCCGGGGAUACCCAAAGGCUUGGCUUGUCCAGGACUAAGGUAGAUUCGGUGACAGGGAGUAAGUCGUAACAAGGCACGGCUAGCGGAAGCUGGUCGUG